This is a long non-coding RNA of Spinacia oleracea (spinach), 2295 nucleotides long. RefSeq lists it as uncharacterized. The record is from RefSeq and is a predicted model, not a curated record. NCBI's taxonomy places the organism in Eukaryota, Viridiplantae, Streptophyta, Magnoliopsida, Caryophyllales, Amaranthaceae. The transcript has 3 exons.
ACAUUUAUUUAUUUAUUUGGAAUGAACAUUUACUAUUUUGGAAAUGAACAUUUAUUUAUUUAUUUGGAAAUAAACAAUAUAGGCGCUUGUAAAAACAUAAAAGACCAAUGAAGUGAACAAUUUCAUUAUGAACAUUAACCAUAUAUGUAUUGUGAACAAACAAAUAAACAAGAAAGAACAAAUAUUUCAACAAAAAAGAACAAACAAUAUAAAAAAUAACAUAAAAUUCCAGAAAAAAGAACAACCAAUACAACAAUUAUGAACAAUUUUAUGAUGAAUUUUAAAGCCAACAUGAAAGAACAAACAAUACAACAAGAAAGAACAAAUACUGGUACAAAAAUGAAAAUUUACUUUUUCGGAAAUGAACAUUUAUUUAUUUAUUUGGAAUGAACAUUUACUAUUUUGGAAAUGAACCUUUAUUUAUUUAUUUGGAAAUAAACAACAAAAAUGAACAUUUAUUCAUUUAUUUGGAAUGAACAUUUACUAUUUUGGAAAUGAACAUUUAUUUAUUUAUUUGGAAAUAAACAAUAUAGGCGCUUGUAAAAACAUAAAAGACCAAUGAAGUGAACAAUUUCAUUAUGAAUUUUAAAGUCAACAUGAAAGAACAAACAAUAAAGCAGAUAAUUAUUAUGAACAAACAAAUAAACAAGAAAGAACAAAUAAUUCAACAAAAAAGAACAAACAAUAUAAAAAAGAACAUAAAAUUCCAGAAAAAAGAACAAACAAUACACCAAUUAUGAACAAUUUUAUGAUGAAUUUUAAAGACAACAUGAAAGAACAAACAAUACAACAAUAAGUUUGAUGAAUGAUUUUAAAAAACAACAAGAAAGAACAAACAGUACAACAAGAAAGAACAAACAAUACAAAAAGAAAGAAUAAAAGAUUAAUGAAGAGUUUAAUUAUGAACAUUAACCAUAUGAUUAUUAUAAACAAACAAAUAAACAAGAAAGAACAAACAAUAUAAAAAAGAACAAAAAAUUCCAGAAGAAAAAACAAAAAAUACAACAACUAUGAAAAUUUGAUGAUGAAUUUAAAAAACAACAUGAAAGAACAAACAGUACAACAAGAAUGAACAAACAGUACAACAAGAAAGAACAAACAGUACAAUAAGAAUGAACAAACAGUACAAUAAAAAAGAAUAAACAGUCGACAAGAAUGAACAAACAAUAUAAGCGCGUCGUUUUGGGGGGUACAGCCAGAGCUGGCUGUACCCGGGUACAGCAGUUAGCGAUUGCAACUACCAAGCCAUUAUUUCAUUUACUAAAAGAAACCAAAACCCAAAACCCAAAACCCAACCCAAUCUUCUUCAUUUUCCCUUCUCUCUCCUCACGGUCAGUCUCUCUCCUCCUCCUUGCUCUCUGCUCCACUGCACCACCGGCGCUGUACUCUCUUCUCCUAUGUCGGCGGGGUUGUUGGUGUGUGUUGCUAGUGUUGUUGUCGGUCUGUCUCUGCCAGUUCCUUGCUCCGCCUCCCUCUCCUCCUCCGCGUCACCGCUGCCGCCAACGGUGGCAAUAGAAACCACACCGAUCUAUGCACCAUCUGUAAUUGGUAAUUUAUCCUACUUCCUCUUCUAGUUGAUUAAAUUCAAUUGAAAUUCCCAAAUUCAUGAACCCUAACUUCUCUCUUCUGCAUGUGGUGGUGCGGGCCCAUCUUACGCCCGACGCGGGGGUUUGCCGGCUCCCAUUGUUGUUGUACUCGCCAGAGCUUCGCCGGAGCUCCGUGGCCCUGCCGGAGCUACUGCUCGAUGUUGUUGGUUGUGCCUAAUGUUGUCUCUUGCGUUCCUAUUUCUCUAAGGGUAAAUUGAUGGAGGAUGGUUUAAGAAGAUUUGAGUCAUGAAGUUAAGCGAAGGAUGAUGAUCGAGUAUGUAGCUUUGGGAUUUAUGAAUGGUUAUUGAAGAAUUAAAAUGUUUUGCAGGUAGUAAGGGCGAGUCUCAAAACAGAUUCAAGGUUCGUAGAGUUCUCCAAUGGCCUUAUAUGUCCAAGGUUGGAAUGUGGAUUCGCCAAAUGUAAUUUAGUUUUCUAGAGUUUGAUAAUGGGUUGUAUAAUUUCUUCUUAAGCUCUGGUUUAUAAUUUAUGGAUUAUAUAUCUGUAUUGGAGUUGUAUUUAAGUUAAGUUUUUUUUGGUUAAAGGUUAAGUGUGCUUAGAAGUAGCUCAUUAAGUGUGGGCUGUUAAAGUGACACCCUUCUGGUGUUGAUUUGGGAAUGUUAUAUGUUGGAAUGUUGUAAUUGAAGCAGGUGAAGGAAAAUCUGACGUAAUUUCCUAAACAGUAUUUUAGGUUGUCCAUAUUUAGGGGAAG